RNAcentral lists this long non-coding RNA (651 nucleotides) under Salmo salar (Atlantic salmon). Its description in RNAcentral is "lncRNA (ENSSSAG00000098912.1)". Lineage: Eukaryota; Metazoa; Chordata; Actinopteri; Salmoniformes; Salmonidae. The record is from RNAcentral.
GUGGUGGUAGCAGUGGUAGUGGUAGCGGUAGUGGUGGUAGUAGCAGUAGUAGUAGUAGUAGUAGUAGCAGUAGUAGUAGUAGUAGUAGUAGUAGUAGUAGUAGUAGUAGUAGUAGUAGCAGUAGCAGCAGCAGCAGUAGCAGCAGGAGCAGUAGCAGUGCAACCAUUUUUUUAAAAGAAAGUUACUACAAUGUAAUGUCUAAGCGUUACUCAUGUGAAUGCUCUCAUUAAAACACAACAAUACUUACUGAAACAUCUCCUAUUCUAAACUCCCUUUACCCAGUAGGUAUUAACUAGGGAAUGACCAGUAGGUAUUAACUAGGGAAUGACCAGUAGGUAUUAACUAGGGAACCUUUACCCAGUAGGUAUUAACUAGGGAAUGACCAGUAGGUAUUAACUAGGGAAUGACCAGUAGGUAUUAACUAGGGAACCUUUACCCAGUAGGUAUUAACUAGGGAAUGACCAGUAGGUAUUAACUAGGGAAUGACCAGUAGGUAUUAACUAGGGAACCUUUACCCAGUAGGUAUUAACUAGGGAAUGACCAGUAGGUAUUAACUAGGGAAUGACCAGUAGGUAUUAACUAGGGAACCUUUACCCAGUAGGUAUUAACUAGGGAAUGACCAGUAGGUAUUAACUAGGGAAUGACCAGUAG